Molecule: ribosomal RNA, 433 nt
Filed under: uncultured bacterium
Lineage: Bacteria
Description: partial 16S ribosomal RNA
Rfam family: Bacterial small subunit ribosomal RNA
Source: RNAcentral
AACGAACGCUGGCGGCAGGCCUAACACAUGCAAGUCGAGCGAGGACUACGGUCCUAGCGGCGGACGGGUGAGUAACGCGUGGGAACGUGCCCUUUGCCUCGGAAUAGCCCUGGGAAACUGGGAGUAAUACCGGAUGAGCCCUUUGGGGGAAAGAUUUAUCGGCGAAGGAUCGGCCCGCGUUGGAUUAGGUAGUUGGUGGGGUAAUGGCCUACCAAGCCGACGAUCCAUAGCUGGUUUGAGAGGAUGAUCAGCCACACUGGGACUGAGACACGGCCCAGACUCCUACGGGAAGCAGCAGUGGGGAAUCUUAGACAAUGGGGGAAACCCUGAUCUAGCCAUGCCGCGUGAGCGAUGAAGGCCUUAGGGUUGUAAAGCUCUUUCAGCUGGGAAGAUAAUGACGGUACCAGCAGAAGAAGCCCCGGCUAACUCCGUG